RNAcentral lists this ribosomal RNA (777 nucleotides) under uncultured Glomus. Its description in RNAcentral is "SSU rRNA". It matches the Rfam family "Eukaryotic small subunit ribosomal RNA", at positions 325 to 1103 of the family's 1831-position model. Lineage: Eukaryota; Fungi; Glomeromycota; Glomeromycetes; Glomerales; Glomeraceae. The record is from RNAcentral.
AUGGUAGGAUAGAGGCCUACCAUGGUGGUAACGGGUAACGGGGUGUUAGGGCACGACACCGGAGAGGGAGCCUGAGAAACGGCUACCACAUCCAAGGAUGGCAGCAGGCGCGCAAAUUACCCAAUCCCGACACGGGGAGGUAGUGACAAUAAAUAACAAUACGGGGUUCUUUAGGAUCUCGUAAUUGGAAUGAGUACAAUUUAAAUCUCUUAACGAGGAACAAUUGGAGGGCAAGUCUGGUGCCAGCAGCCGCGGUAAUUCCAGCUCCAAUAGCGUAUAUUAAAGUUGUUGCAGUUAAAAAGCUCGUAGUUGAAUUUCGGGGUCAGUAGGUCGGUCGUGCCACUGGUAUGAACUGGUUUUACUGAUUCCUCCCUCUUGAAGAACUGUAAUGCCAUUAAUUUGGUGUUGCAGGGAAUCAGGACUGUUACUUUGAAAAAAUUAGAGUGUUUAAAGCAGGCUUUAGCUUGAAUACAUUAGCAUGGAAUAAUGAAAUAGGACGUUUGAUCCUAUUUUGUUGGUUUCUAGGAUUGACGUAAUGAUUAAUAGGGAUAGUUGGGGGCAUUAGUAUUCAAUUGUCAGAGGUGAAAUUCUUGGAUUUAUUGAAGACUAACUACUGCGAAAGCAUUUGCCAAGGAUGUUUUCAUUAAUCAAGAACGAAAGUUAGGGGAUCGAAGACGAUCAGAUACCGUCGUAGUCUUAACCAUAAACUAUGCCGACUAGGGAUCGGAUGAUGUUAAUUUUUUAAUGACUCAUUCGGCGCCUUACGGGAAACCAAAG